Molecule: long non-coding RNA, 762 nt
Filed under: Homo sapiens (human)
Lineage: Eukaryota; Metazoa; Chordata; Mammalia; Primates; Hominidae
Description: HSALNT0072150
Source: RNAcentral
CAUUCCAUUCCAUUCCAUUGCAUUCCAUUCCAUUCCAUUCCAUACCAUUCCACCAAAGUUGAUUGCAUGCUAUUCCAUUCCAUUCCAUUCCAUUCCGUUCCUUUCCACUUGGGUUGAUUCCAUUCCAUUCAAUUCCGUUCCAUUCCGUUCCGUUCCGUUCCGUUCCAUUCCAUUCCAUUCCAUUCCAUUCCAUUCCAUUCCAUUUCAUUCCAUUGCAUUCCACUCGGGUUGUUUCCAUUCCAUUCCAUUCCAUUCCAUUCCAUUCCAUUCCAUUCCAUAUUCCAUUCCAUACCCUUCGGGUUGAUUCCUUUCCAUUCCAUUCCAUCCCAUUCCAUUCCGCUCCAUUCCAUUCCAUUCAAUUCAAUUCCAUUCCAUUCCACUCCAUUCCAUUCCACUUGUGUUCAUUCCAUUCCAUUCCAUUCCAUUCUAUCCCGUUACUUUGCAUUCUAUUCCGUUCCAUUCCAUUCCCUCACACUCGUGUUCAUUCCAUUCCGUUCCUUUGCAUUCCAUUCCAUUCAUUUCCAUUCCUUUCCAUUGCACUCCACUCGGGUUGAUUCCAUUCCAUUCCAUUCUAUUCCAUUCCGUUCAAUUAAAUUCCAUUCCAUUCCAUUCCAUUGCAUUCCAGUUCAUUCCAUUCGUUUCCACUCCAUUCCAUUCCCUUCCAUUCCAUUCCAUUCCAUUCCCUUCCAUUCCAUUCCAUUCAAUACUAUUCCGUUGCAUUGGAAUCGGGUUGAUUCCAAUCCAUUCCAUUACAUUCCAGUC